ACUGGGGGCAUAGGCAGGAUGGAUGCCACCCCCAUUUUCUGAUUAGGGCGAGUACUUGGGAGAGGUCCCUUAAGUACCCGUUCCUGGAACCAAGCAGGGAGGUCUAAAGGCUUUCUUCAAGCAGCUCGCGAUAGAGCAAGAGGUGUAAAAAGGGGCUGGGAAGGGAGGGAAGUCGCUGAAGCUUUUUGUCGAGGUGGAUGCACCACAUGCUGGGAGCCGCAGCUGCGCGUUCUUGUCGGCGUCGGAAAAACAGCCUGGCUUUGAAGUGCAAGUCCCAAAUCUGGCCAGGGCUGGGUUUUGAAUAAUUUCUUUUUUACUUGGAGGGAAACUUUUUUUCCGUUGCAAAAAAGUACUUGCAUUCAUUUAAAAAAAACAAACCGAGAAAGGAGGCCAGCGGCGUUCUCUCCUCCCCACGUUUAAAUUUGGAGAGUUCUUUCUUUCUGCAAACUUUAUUCGGCGCCCUAGUCACUGCAAUACCCGCGAGAAGAUUUGCUUAUCUUGUCCAAAGUGUACCUUGAAGUGCCAAAAACAUGUGAUAUACGUGCAAAGGAAGGAUAGAGUGCAGCAGUUUUCAACUGUGUGUUUAAUACUGAGUGUAUUUCUAACACUGUAUAAAAUGAAGGCAUUUCUACUUUUAACUAUAACAAGGAUGCCAAACAGUGCAACUUUACAUGCCAACUAAAUUUUCUCUCCACCGCUCAGACAAUGGCCAAACAGAUGUUUGAGAGAGUCCACAAGCAAUGCAGGCUGGAUAUGGUGAUCUCCUGCUGUGUAUUUCUGGCAUUUGGGAGUCAGAAAUGUACUAGUUCUGAACAGAUGUGGCAGCAUCCAGAAUAAA
This is a long non-coding RNA of Sphaerodactylus townsendi, 838 nucleotides long. RefSeq lists it as uncharacterized. The transcript has 3 exons. NCBI's taxonomy places the organism in Eukaryota, Metazoa, Chordata, Lepidosauria, Squamata, Sphaerodactylidae. The record is from RefSeq and is a predicted model, not a curated record.